RNAcentral lists this ribosomal RNA (465 nucleotides) under uncultured bacterium. Its description in RNAcentral is "partial 16S ribosomal RNA". It matches the Rfam family "Bacterial small subunit ribosomal RNA", at positions 338 to 795 of the family's 1533-position model. The record is from RNAcentral.
CCUACGGGCGGCAGCAGUAGGGAAUCUUCCACAAUGGACGAAAGUCUGAUGGAGCAACGCCGCGUGAGUGAAGAAGGGUUUCGGCUCGUAAAGCCCUGUGGGUAGUGAAGAAAGAUAGAGGUAGUAACUGGCCUUUAUUUGACGGUAAUUACUUAGAAAGUCACGGCUAACUACGUGCCAGCAGCCGCGGUAAUACGUAGGUGGCAAGCGUUGUCCGGAUUUAUUGGGCGUAAAGCGAGUGCAGGCGGUUCAAUAAGUCUGAUGUGAAAGCCUUCGGCUCAACCGGAGAAUUGCAUCAGAAACUGUUGAACUUGAGUGCAGAAGAGGAGAGUGGAACUCCAUGUGUAGCGGUGGAAUGCGUAGAUAUAUGGAAGAACACCAGUGGCGAAAGCGGCUCUCUGGUCUGCAACUGACGCUGAGGCUCGAAAGCAUGGGUAGCGAACAGGAUUAGAUACCCCUGUAGUC